GGAACCACCUCCUCGCGGAUCACCAAGUUGGAGAGGAUCUGAGCCAUCCAUCGGGUACCCGUCCAACGCUGGAUCUUCUCUUGAAAAAAAAAACCUAAUCCACCUACCCACCAACCUAGAUCCGAUCGAGGCCACCCUGCCUUCCUCUCCCUUGUCUCGUCUCCCUACCGCAAUUCCUUCCAUCACCAUUCCCACCCACCGCCGCCGCCCCCACCCACCGUCGACCUUGUCUCCGCCACGCAUCCUCUCCCCCUCCCCUCGCCUUCAUCCCCCAGAUCGAGCAAGCCACGAUUCCAUCGUCGGUGCCACCUCCCCUCCAUGGACGGAGAUCCACUCGAGCUCAUCCUCUCCAAUCUCGUCGCCGACGAUGACCCCCAACACCACACCAAUCGGCGAAUGUCUCCCGGACCCACCNNNNNNN
This 421-nucleotide long non-coding RNA is filed under the name Hordeum vulgare. RNAcentral's name for it is "long non-coding RNA (HVUL_LNC004973)". The record is from RNAcentral. Lineage: Eukaryota; Viridiplantae; Streptophyta; Magnoliopsida; Poales; Poaceae.